RNAcentral lists this ribosomal RNA (2587 nucleotides) under Escherichia coli. Its description in RNAcentral is "partial 23S ribosomal RNA". It matches the Rfam family "Bacterial large subunit ribosomal RNA", at positions 367 to 2925 of the family's 2925-position model. The record is from RNAcentral. Lineage: Bacteria; Pseudomonadati; Pseudomonadota; Gammaproteobacteria; Enterobacterales; Enterobacteriaceae.
ACAGCCCCGUACACAAAAAUGCACAUACUGUGAGCUCGAUGAGUAGGGCGGGACACGUGGUAUCCUGUCUGAAUAUGGGGGGACCAUCCUCCAAGGCUAAAUACUCCUGACUGACCGAUAGUGAACCAGUACCGUGAGGGAAAGGCGAAAAGAACCCCGGCGAGGGGAGUGAAAAAGAACCUGAAACCGUGUACGUACAAGCAGUGGGAGCCUCUUAAUGGGGUGACUGCGUACCUUUUGUAUAAUGGGUCAGCGACUUAUAUUCUGUAGCAAGGUUAACCGAAUAGGGGAGCCGAAGGGAAACCGAGUCUUAACUGGGCGUUAAGUUGCAGGGUAUAGACCCGAAACCCGGUGAUCUAGCCAUGGGCAGGUUGAAGGUUGGGUAACACUAACUGGAGGACCGAACCGACUAAUGUUGAAAAAUUAGCGGAUGACUUGUGGCUGGGGGUGAAAGGCCAAUCAAACCGGGAGAUAGCUGGUUCUCCCCGAAAGCUAUUUAGGUAGCGCCUCGUGAAUUCAUCUCCGGGGGUAGAGCACUGUUUCGGCAAGGGGGUCAUCCCGACUUACCAACCCGAUGCAAACUGCGAAUACCGGAGAAUGUUAUCACGGGAGACACACGGCGGGUGCUAACGUCCGUCGUGAAGAGGGAAACAACCCAGACCGCCAGCUAAGGUCCCAAAGUCAUGGUUAAGUGGGAAACGAUGUGGGAAGGCCCAGACAGCCAGGAUGUUGGCUUAGAAGCAGCCAUCAUUUAAAGAAAGCGUAAUAGCUCACUGGUCGAGUCGGCCUGCGCGGAAGAUGUAACGGGGCUAAACCAUGCACCGAAGCUGCGGCAGCGACACUAUGUGUUGUUGGGUAGGGGAGCGUUCUGUAAGCCUGUGAAGGUGUACUGUGAGGUAUGCUGGAGGUAUCAGAAGUGCGAAUGCUGACAUAAGUAACGAUAAAGCGGGUGAAAAGCCCGCUCGCCGGAAGACCAAGGGUUCCUGUCCAACGUUAAUCGGGGCAGGGUGAGUCGACCCCUAAGGCGAGGCCGAAAGGCGUAGUCGAUGGGAAACAGGUUAAUAUUCCUGUACUUGGUGUUACUGCGAAGGGGGGACGGAGAAGGCUAUGUUGGCCGGGCGACGGUUGUCCCGGUUUAAGCGUGUAGGCUGGUUUUCCAGGCAAAUCCGGAAAAUCAAGGCUGAGGCGUGAUGACGAGGCACUACGGUGCUGAAGCGACAAAUGCCCUGCUUCCAGGAAAAGCCUCUAAGCAUCAGGUAACAUCAAAUCGUACCCCAAACCGACACAGGUGGUCAGGUAGAGAAUACCAAGGCGCUUGAGAGAACUCGGGUGAAGGAACUAGGCAAAAUGGUGCCGUAACUUCGGGAGAAGGCACGCUGAUAUGUAGGUGAAGCGACUUGCUCGUGGAGCUGAAAUCAGUCGAAGAUACCAGCUGGCUGCAACUGUUUAUUAAAAACACAGCACUGUGCAAACACGAAAGUGGACGUAUACGGUGUGACGCCUGCCCGGUGCCGGAAGGUUAAUUGAUGGGGUUAGCGGUAACGCGAAGCUCUUGAUCGAAGCCCCGGUAAACGGCGGCCGUAACUAUAACGGUCCUAAGGUAGCGAAAUUCCUUGUCGGGUAAGUUCCGACCUGCACGAAUGGCGUAAUGAUGGCCAGGCUGUCUCCACCCGAGACUCAGUGAAAUUGAACUCGCUGUGAAGAUGCAGUGUACCCGCGGCAAGACGGAAAGACCCCGUGAACCUUUACUAUAGCUUGACACUGAACAUUGAGCCUUGAUGUGUAGGAUAGGUGGGAGGCUUUGAAGUGUGGACGCCAGUCUGCAUGGAGCCGACCUUGAAAUACCACCCUUUAAUGUUUGAUGUUCUAACGUGGGCCCCUUACCGGGGUUGCGGACAGUGUCUGGUGGGUAGUUUGACUGGGGCGGUCUCCUCCUAAAGAGUAACGGAGGAGCACGAAGGUUGGCUAAUCCUGGUCGGACAUCAGGAGGUUAGUGCAAUGGCAUAAGCCAGCUUGACUGCGAGCGUGACGGCGCGAGCAGGUGCGAAAGCAGGUCAUAGUGAUCCGGUGGUUCUGAAUGGAAGGGCCAUCGCUCAACGGAUAAAAGGUACUCCGGGGAUAACAGGCUGAUACCGCCCAAGAGUUCAUAUCGACGGCGGUGUUUGGCACCUCGAUGUCGGCUCAUCACAUCCUGGGGCUGAAGUAGGUCCCAAGGGUAUGGCUGUUCGCCAUUUAAAGUGGUACGCGAGCUGGGUUUAGAACGUCGUGAGACAGUUCGGUCCCUAUCUGCCGUGGGCGCUGGAGAACUGAGGGGGGCUGCUCCUAGUACGAGAGGACCGGAGUGGACGCAUCACUGGUGUUCGGGUUGUCAUGCCAAUGGCACUGCCCGGUAGCUAAAUGCGGAAGAGAUAAGUGCUGAAAGCAUCUAAGCACGAAACUUGCCCCGAGAUGAGUUCUCCCUGACUCCUUGAGAGUCCUGAAGGAACGUUGAAGACGACGACGUUGAUAGGCCGGGUGUGUAAGCGCAGCGAUGCGUUGAGCUAACCGGUACUAAUGAACCGUGAGGCUUAACCUUACAACGCCGAAG